UCAAUCGCCGCCCCGGCAGAGCACUCCAUUGCUUCUCCCCAGCCUUCGCGCCAUUCCCGUUCUCUCUCUCCCACGAUGCUUUCCUUCUCCGUUCCAGCAGCUAUAAAAGGAAUGCACCAGCCGCCGGAGUUCCCUCCGCCUUUGUUGCCUUCAGCCAUUCUCUCACUCCCUGCUCAAACUCCUAGCACCACACCCUAAAGCUCUUGAGGAACUCUCCUCUCAGCUCCCCUCCGU
RNAcentral lists this long non-coding RNA (234 nucleotides) under Setaria italica (foxtail millet). Its description in RNAcentral is "long non-coding RNA (SITA_LNC006885)". Lineage: Eukaryota; Viridiplantae; Streptophyta; Magnoliopsida; Poales; Poaceae. The record is from RNAcentral.